RNAcentral lists this transfer RNA (70 nucleotides) under Acanthoscelides obtectus. RNAcentral describes it as "hypothetical protein". It matches the Rfam family "tRNA". Rfam says of the family: Transfer RNA (tRNA) molecules are approximately 80 nucleotides in length. Their secondary structure includes four short double-helical elements and three loops (D, anti-codon, and T loops). The record is from RNAcentral. Lineage: Eukaryota; Metazoa; Arthropoda; Insecta; Coleoptera; Chrysomelidae.
GGUGCUGUAGACUAAUUGGUUAGGUCGGCUCCAAGGAAUGGAGAGGCGGGUUCGAAUCCCGCCGGCGCCC